AAGCUAAGCCCUCCAGCGCCAAUGGUACUGCACCUUAAUCAGUGUGGGAGAGUAGGACACCGCCGAAC
Molecule: ribosomal RNA, 68 nt
Filed under: Gordonia westfalica J30
Lineage: Bacteria; Bacillati; Actinomycetota; Actinomycetes; Mycobacteriales; Gordoniaceae
Source: RNAcentral